This 74-nucleotide transfer RNA is filed under the name bacterium. RNAcentral describes it as "tRNA-Val". It matches the Rfam family "tRNA". From Rfam's summary of the family: Transfer RNA (tRNA) molecules are approximately 80 nucleotides in length. The record is from RNAcentral. RNAcentral also lists the same sequence under 1 other name.
GGGCGGAUAGUUCAGUUGGUUAGAACGUACGGUUCACAUCCGUAAGGUCACAGGUUCGAAUCCUGUUCCGCCCA